This 754-nucleotide unclassified non-coding RNA is filed under the name Hevea brasiliensis (rubber tree). The record is from RNAcentral. Lineage: Eukaryota; Viridiplantae; Streptophyta; Magnoliopsida; Malpighiales; Euphorbiaceae.
CUAAAGAAUGCCACCAGAAACUUUCGUCCCGACAGUCUUCUAGGUGAAGGUGGUUUUGGUUAUGUUUUUAAAGGAUGGAUUGAUGAAAACACAAUGACUGCUGCAAGGCCUGGAUCUGGAAUGGUUAUAGCUGUCAAGAAGCUUAAACCUGAAGGUUUCCAGGGCCACAAGGAGUGGUUGACAGAAGUUAAUUAUCUUGGCCAACUUCAUCAUCCAAAUCUGGUCAAGCUGAUUGGUUACUGCUUGGAGGGUGAGAACCGGCUUUUGGCGUAUGAGUUUAUGCCGAAAGGGAGUUUAGAGAAUCAUCUAUUCAGAAGAGGGCCUCAGCCGCUAUCAUGGGCAGUGCGAAUAAAAGUGGCCAUAGGUGCUGCCAGAGGGCUAUCUUUCCUUCAUGAUGCAAAAUCCCAAGUCAUAUACCGUGAUUUUAAGGCUUCUAAUAUCCUACUGGAUGCGGAUUUCAAUGCAAAACUCUCUGAUUUUGGUUUGGCCAAGGCAGGCCCUACUGGCGAUAGAACUCAUGUGUCCACUCAAGUCAUGGGUACUCAUGGCUAUGCUGCACCGGAAUAUGUUGCUACAGGUAGGUUGACAGCCAAAAGUGAUGUAUACAGCUUUGGGGUUGUGUUACUUGAACUCCUGUCUGGAAGGCGUGCUGUUGAUAAAACAAAGGUUGGUGCGGAGCAGAAUCUGGUAGAAUGGGCAAAACCCUAUCUUGGUGACAAGAGAAGAUUAUUCCGGAUAAUGGACACCAAGUUGG